UGUGCUAGGCAGAACAAAAUGUAAAAUCCUUUGCAUUCUGGAUCAGCUUGGGAUUUUAGAAAAUCCAAUACAAUAAUAUUUGUUACCCUUACAACAACUUCUUCUCAUGGCAGGGAAAUUCUUUCUCUCUCUACCUACCAUAAAUGAUGCUUUUUAAUUUCUCUUAGAGCUAGGAAAUCUCAUGAUUUUAGGGUGACAGAAAUAUCUAAAUUAAUCUCUUUUAUUUGGUGGGUUUUUCUUUUUUUUUCUUUUUCUUUUUUCUUUUUUUUGUUUUUACUGUAGAAAAUCCAGCAUAACUGACUGACAAAAUGUUUUAAAGCCAAACAAGUCCAUUUUGUGUUUUAGAUUUCAGCCUUCCAAGUUCUGAUGUAACAAACAACUUAAAACCCAGUCUUCAUCCACAGAUGAACUUGCUAGCCUUGGAGAAUACAGAGAUACCCCCGUUUGCCCAAAGGACCAGCCAAAACCUCACCUCAAGCCACGCAUAUGAUAAUGUAAGUAACAAAACUCUUUUCUAGCAGUGCAUCUAGUCAGC
This 535-nucleotide small RNA is filed under the name Pan troglodytes (chimpanzee). Its description in RNAcentral is "retained intron". The record is from RNAcentral. Lineage: Eukaryota; Metazoa; Chordata; Mammalia; Primates; Hominidae.